Molecule: ribosomal RNA, 144 nt
Filed under: Thermomicrobiales bacterium
Lineage: Bacteria; Pseudomonadati; Thermomicrobiota; Thermomicrobia; Thermomicrobiales
Description: partial 16S ribosomal RNA
Rfam family: Bacterial small subunit ribosomal RNA
Source: RNAcentral
CCGCCCGUCACGUCAUGAAAGCCGGUAACACCUGAAGUCGGUGGGCGAACCUUCGGGGCGCAGCUGCCGAGGGUGGGACUGGUGAUUGGGACGAAGUCGUAACAAGGUAGCCGUAGCGGAAGCUGCGGCUGGAUCACCUCCUUU